This 468-nucleotide ribosomal RNA is filed under the name uncultured bacterium. Its description in RNAcentral is "partial 16S ribosomal RNA". It matches the Rfam family "Bacterial small subunit ribosomal RNA", at positions 28 to 507 of the family's 1533-position model. The record is from RNAcentral.
GAUGAACGCUGGCGGCGUGCUUAACACAUGCAAGUCGAACGGAGACGCCCCAGCUUGCUGCUUUGGCUGAGUGCCGACCGCGUGCGUGAGAGGUGCGCAUCCUCCCCCUGACUCUGACAUAGGCGCUGGCCACGGCGACUAAUCCUAGUUCCGCGUAGCGUCCGCUUCGGCCCUUUCUGGAAGGUUAGGCGGUUCGGGAUGGGCUCGUGGGCUAGCAGCUGGUUGGUGAGGUAACGGCUCACCAAGGCGCCGACGAGUAGCUGGCCUGAGAGGGGGACCGGCCACAGGGGGACUGAGACACGGCCCGGAGUCCUACGGGAGACAGCAGUGGGGAAGGGUGCACAAUGGACGAAAGCCGGAUGCAGGAACGCCGCGUUAGGGAUGACGGCCUUCGGGUUGUAGGCCUCUUUGAGCGGGGAAGAAGCGAAAGUGAAGGUACCGGCUGAAGAAGCACCGGCUAACUACGUG